GAUGAACGCUGGCGGCGUGCCUAACACAUGCAAGUCGAGCGAUUUACUUCGGUAAAGAGCGGCGGACGGGUGAGUAACGCGUGGGUAACCUGCCCUGUACACACGGAUAACAUACCGAAAGGUAUGCUAAUACGAGAUAAUAUGCUCUUAUCGCAUGGUAGAAGUAUCAAAGCUUUUGCGGUACAGGAUGGACCCGCGUCUGAUUAGCUAGUUGGUAAGGUAACGGCUUACCAAGGCGACGAUCAGUAGCCGACCUGAGAGGGUGAUCGGCCACAUUGGAACUGAGACACGGUCCAAACUCCUACGGGAGGCAGCAGUGGGGAAUAUUGCACAAUGGGCGAAAGCCUGAUGCAGCAACGCCGCGUGAGCGAUGAAGGCCUUCGGGUCGUAAAGCUCUGUCCUCAAGGAAGAUAAUGACGGUACUUGAGGAGGAAGCCCCGGCUAACUACGUGCCAGCAGCCGCGGUAA
This 468-nucleotide ribosomal RNA is filed under the name uncultured bacterium. Its description in RNAcentral is "partial 16S ribosomal RNA". It matches the Rfam family "Bacterial small subunit ribosomal RNA", at positions 28 to 523 of the family's 1533-position model. The record is from RNAcentral.